UUUAACACUAAAUUUCGUUAAAAUAUGAUUGCUAGUGCAUGUGAAGAGCAUUUAAUAGUUUGGUAACAUGGUAGAAAAACAGAGCACGGCAUUCAAUUGUUAGCUUAUUCUUUUUAUUUUUCUUUGGGAGCCUUUCACAAGUAUUGAAAUUGUUGACAUUUGAGAUUGAGAUGUUUGCUUUGGAUCUAGUUUUUUUUAUAUAGAGUUAGGACUUUGUUAUAUGUGUGUAUGCCUUUCUCUAUUUAGUUUCCUUUAUGUGAUAUGGGUAUAAUUUUUGUUAUAUAUAUAUAUAGUUAGUUUUCUCUUUUUGUUUGCACAUAAUAUGUUUGUUCAAAUGUCUCUAAAAGAUAGUUUGAAUGCCAAAUAAUUUUCUUUUGUUAGUUUGAAUGGAUUUUUUUUUUCAUGUUCUUUCUUUGAUGAUAAUGACUACCAUUGCUGAUUUAACAUAUAGAUUACAACACCUAAGGAUACUAUUUCAUAAUCUAAGAUUCUAGUUGGUGUGUAUUGUAUUAGGUUCUAAUCAUUACUUCAUUGAAACUCUUUUUUAUGCUUAAAGGUUGUGUGACUUAUGUCUUACUAUUUAGUGACGAUAUUUUGAACUAAACAAUUCGUGUAACGUAUACUCUAUGCUCACAGUUUGUUUGGACUUGAUUACAGGAGAUACAUUCAAAUAAUUCAGUUAUGGGCUGAGUUAGAGUUUUAGGUCACCAACUUAUAUAUAAAGUUUUCAAUUUCUUCUUCAAUUGUUAUGAGUUUUUGAGGAUUGAGGAUUUGAAAUUAACAAACUGCAGUAAGUGAUGGAGAAUUAAGUAAAUUUAAGAAGUUGCAGGACAUAUCUUCAUGGUUCAGUGAGACGACAUCAAGCUCGAUUGAAUUUAACCAUAGUGAAAGUUCACACUUGUUGAUGCUGAUAUAAGGUGUACGUUGAAAACUUUAUUUGUAUUUUACUGUGUUUCUCAACAAUAUAGCAUAUUAUUUAUUGAUAUAAUGUCCCUGUAAUGACUUGAAAAAUUUAGAUAGUUUCCAAUAAUGAGUGAUCAUCUUUUUUUUUAAUUAUUAUUUUUAUUCUCUAUACACCUAGUAUGGAUCUUUAUUGAAACAUAAUUAUGCAAGUGUUAAAGUAAGGAGUUUUUUUAUUUUAUUUAGUUUUUUACUUUGUUACUGAUGAUUUAAUGUAAUUAAUGGCUCUGUAAUGACUUGGCUUUAUUGGUUCAACAUGAACUUAGGUAAUAAAUAAAAAUUAUAGAGUAUAUGUCUUCUUCCUAGUCAUAACUUUCGUAAUCACUUAAUUAAUAUCCUGAAAAGAAAACGAACAUCGUGUCAAUUUUUAAUUAAUUUCUUUUUCUCUAGAGUUAAUUAUGAGAAAAUUUAAAAGUUCAUAAAUAUUGUUUAGUAAAAGAAAACGGUGUUGUUCUACUUUACUAAAGACUCACUACUCUGUUAGAUUGUAAUAACUCUAUAUACAGGUUCUUAAAUGCCUGAGAAAUCUAUCAUAUGUUGGUGUGGAGGAAUAAAAUAUGUGUGUAGGGUAUAUGGUGAUUAGUGGCUAGAGUAAGCUAUGGGUUAGUAGUGAUAGUUAUCUUACUGAUGGGAUAAAUAUGUAGAUAUAGUGGAGAAGUCAUACAUAAUGGGUUCUUUCAUUUAUGUUUAUUUACACUUUGAUUUUUCUUACACUCAUAUUUACCCUACAUAAAUAUUGUAAUCAUGAUAUAACUAAUUAUUUGUUAUAUUUCAGUUAAACAUCAGUUAAGUUGGUUUUUCUUGAAGUCAAAGAUCUUGGCUGAGCUGUCCAAGUCUUUGGAGACCUAUAUAUAUAUGUGUCUCAUGUUUUAGAAUUAAGAUAGAAGAAAAAGAGAGAAAACUGAGAAGAGUGCUUUGAUUUUCAAGUGGAAGAGAUUUUUCAAGAGGAACUGGUACAGAAGGUUUCGGCUCAGAGGAUUCCUAGGAGAGUUGAGUGAAUUCUUGUAUGAGUGUGUGAGGAAAUCUUUGUAUUGUGUGAGGGGUUCAUUCUCGAGUGAAAAUCAGAGUGUUUAGAGAGUGAGAUCAGCCUAGUGAUCUACUCGUUUUCUUGUACUGAAAUGAUUAGUGUAUUCUGAUCAAUUUGGAGCUUGUGUAACCUUGGUGAAACAACUGUCAAAGACUAAUAAAACUCUUGGGGAAAGCUGGAUGUAGGCUAACUAUUUUGUUAGCUGAACCAGGAUAAAGAUUUGGUGUUCUUCCUUAUUACUCUUAUUUGUUUAUCAUAUGUUUUGUAUUUAAAUCUUGAAAUAUUAGUUCUGUUUUGGACAUAAGUUUAAGAUAACAUAAACUUAGAAUAGAUAUUUGUUUAGUUUUGAUCUUCACCUUAAACUCUGGUUUCUUCCUACAAAAGCUAUUCAUAAUAGCUAUAGAGUCUUUUAUUACUACUGAUUUCUAUAAUUUUUAAGUGGGUGUGGACGAAUAAAAUAUGCGUAUGUAUAUGAUAUGGGUUGUGAUAACUAUCAUUAUUAAUAAUUAUUAUAUUAUUCAUGGUACAACCAUAAAGAUGGUGGAGAAGAGUAUAACGUAAUGGGCUUUUUUAUUUUUAUUAUUUUAUUUGGAAAAUGACUCUUAUUUAUGCUUGUUUUUUCUUAAACUUUGAUUUUUCUUACACCACCAUAAAGCAUUAAGACUAAAUUGCUCUGAGAGAGUUAAUGAUGUAUUUUUAUAUGGUUAAUUUUAUGUGAGGACGAAAGCAUGCACUGUAUAUGUGAAGGAACUGAAAUUAAAUACAGGUUUGGAAUUUCUAGAAUGCUGAAUUGUUUAAGAAAGGUUGAUGUAACAGAACUUAUAAGCUAAUAAAAGAUUUAUCUACAUGAGCUAUUAAGUUGUCACUUUUUAUUUAUUAGUUACGUUGGUUCUAAUAAUAUUUUGGGCUGCAUGAUUAUUCUCAAAUGUUUUAGCUGGUAUAUAUAUAUAUAUAUAUAUAUGUAUACACACUAAAUGGUGUACCAUCAAAUUUACCUAUAGCUUAAAAGUUGUUUGAUUCAAUUUACAAUUAAGCCAAAUAUCUUAGAAUAAGUUUCUUAUGUGCUUACCUAAUUAGUCGUUUCUAUAGUAGUAGGCUACAACUAUUUACAUAAACAUUUUUUAUGCGUGUAAAAAAAAAAAUAAGUAUGGCUUAUCAAUCUUAAAACUAGUAACUCUAUACUAAUGUGAUGUCAUUGUGCAUUUUUAGAGAAACUCGAGAAGGAAAACCAAAUAGCAGAGCAACUCUAAAGAAGAAUACUAAUUCUAAGGUCUAACUUAUUCAAAACAAAAAUAAGAAAAACAAAUAGAUUAUCUUCUUUGUAGUGACAUCUGCUUCUUUAGCUUUGAGUUAGGAAUAUAUAUAUAUAUAUAUAUACAUAUAUAUAUAAUUUGUUGUGCCAUCUGCAUGUUUAGCAUUUUUUUUUCUAAUCAUGAGCUUUAUUUAGAAUAUUAUCAAUGAAAUGUUCUAUUUUGGAGUCAUCUCAACUCUUACAUAUGUGCCAAGUAUUCUAAUAUUGAUUUUGCUAAGAGCUUUCAAUUUUUGAAAACUAUAAUUUCUGAUAGACAUUUUAAAUGCCAUAUUUUACAUUAUAUAAUUACUACCAUUGAAUUGUUUGGCUUAAUAUUUUUUGGAGCUUUGCAAUACUUUCUCACAAGGGAUAAUCUUGCUGGAUGACUAAGUCUUCUCUUGCCUAAAUAUUGGCUCUUUGUGUUGUUGCAAGUCAGAGAUGAAAGCUCAUGGACAGCACCUCUAGCAGUACUUUUACGGCAUCAACAGUAAUUUGUUGGUUCAUUAUAUGCUUGGAUUUGUCUUAAACAUGAUUCUUAUGCAUAGAACCAAGACUGUAUGCUAGAUUCUACAAGCAAAAUGUAAACCAAGAUUUGAUAGUGAUGAAUUUGAAGAAUAUGUUUUGCUAA
This is a long non-coding RNA of Humulus lupulus (European hop), 3906 nucleotides long. RefSeq lists it as uncharacterized. The transcript is spliced from 2 exons. The record is from RefSeq and is a predicted model, not a curated record. NCBI's taxonomy places the organism in Eukaryota, Viridiplantae, Streptophyta, Magnoliopsida, Rosales, Cannabaceae.